AUUGAACGCUGGCGGCGUGCUUAACACAUGCGAGUCGAACGCGAAAGGGACUUCGGUCCUGAGUAAAGUGGCGCACGGGUGAGUAACGCGUGGAUAAUCUGCCCUUAUGAUCGGGAUAACAGUUGGAAACGGCUGCUAAUACCGGAUACGCUCAAGAUGAACUUUUUGAGGAAAGAUGGCCUCUGCUUGCAUGCUAUCGCAUAGGGAUGAGUCCGCGUCCCAUUAGCUUGUUGGCGGGUAACGGCCCACCAAGGCAACGAUGGGUAGCCGAUUUGAGAGGAUGAUCGGCCACACUGGAACUGAAACACGGUCCAGACUCCUACGGGAGGCAGCAGUGGGGAAUAUUGCGCAAUGGGCGAAAGCCUGACGCAGCGACGCCGCGUGAGGGAUGAAGGUUUUCGGAUCGUAAACCUCUGUCAGAAGGGAAGAAACUACGUUGUGCUAAUCAGCAGCGUACUGACGGUACCUUCAAAGGAAGCACCGGCUAACUCCGUGCCAGCAGCGGC
This 506-nucleotide ribosomal RNA is filed under the name uncultured bacterium. Its description in RNAcentral is "bacterial SSU rRNA". It matches the Rfam family "Bacterial small subunit ribosomal RNA", at positions 30 to 518 of the family's 1533-position model. The record is from RNAcentral.